RNAcentral lists this ribosomal RNA (274 nucleotides) under uncultured bacterium. RNAcentral describes it as "partial 16S ribosomal RNA". It matches the Rfam family "Archaeal small subunit ribosomal RNA", at positions 473 to 747 of the family's 1478-position model. The record is from RNAcentral.
AAACCAGCACCUCAAGUGGUCAGGAUGAUUAUUGGGCCUAAAGCAUCCGUAGCCGGCUCUGUAAGUUUUCGGUUAAAUCUGUACGCUUAACGUACAGGCUGCUGGGAAUACUGCAGAGCUAGGGAGUGGGAGAGGUAGACGGUACUCGGGAGGAAGUGGUAAAAUGCUUUGAUCUCUCGAUGACCACCUGUGGCGAAGGCGGUCUACCAGAACACGUCCGACGGUGAGGGAUGAAAGCUGGGGGAGCAAACCGGAUUAGAAACCCUGGUAGUCC